GGCGCAGUGGCGAAGAAGCUACGCGGUGGUCUGCAAAACCACUAUACGUGGGUGCGAAUCCCACCUGCGCCU
This 72-nucleotide transfer RNA is filed under the name Candidatus Nealsoniibacteriota bacterium. RNAcentral describes it as "Candidatus Nealsonbacteria bacterium tRNA-Cys". It matches the Rfam family "tRNA". From Rfam's summary of the family: Transfer RNA (tRNA) molecules are approximately 80 nucleotides in length. Their secondary structure includes four short double-helical elements and three loops (D, anti-codon, and T loops). The record is from RNAcentral. Lineage: Bacteria; Candidatus Nealsoniibacteriota.